GAGACACCCUUAUGGAGUAGGAUUUGCUUCAGUGGGGCUUUGGUGCUCAUUGAGUCUGCUCCCUAUGUCUGUUUUU
This 76-nucleotide microRNA precursor is filed under the name Myotis davidii. RNAcentral describes it as "mir-9229 microRNA precursor family". It matches the Rfam family "mir-9229 microRNA precursor family". Lineage: Eukaryota; Metazoa; Chordata; Mammalia; Chiroptera; Vespertilionidae. The record is from Rfam by way of RNAcentral.